This is a long non-coding RNA of Haliotis rubra (blacklip abalone), 383 nucleotides long. RefSeq lists it as uncharacterized. Lineage: Eukaryota; Metazoa; Mollusca; Gastropoda; Lepetellida; Haliotidae. The record is from RefSeq and is a predicted model, not a curated record. The transcript is spliced from 3 exons.
CAAAGCAUAGGAUUCUGCUGAUGAAUCUCAGUAAGUGAAAGUAAAAAAGAUGUAUGUUGCACAGGCAUGUGAACCAAAUAUUACUGUUGGAGUCAUGUGGGAGGUGUUUGAACAUUAUUCAUGAGGUUAUGUGAGAGAUGUUUGUGAACCAAGCAUUACUGUUGAGGCUAUAUGAGAGAUGUUUGUGAACCAAACAUUACUGUUGAGGUAAUGUGAGACAUGUUUUUCGAACAAACAUUGCACUUGAGGUAAUGUGAGAGAUGUUUGUGAACCAAACAUUACUGUUGAGGCUAUGUGAGAGAUGUUUGUGAACCAAACAUUACUGUUGAGGCUAUAUGAGAGAUGUUUGUGAACCAAACAUUACUGUUGAGGUAAUGUGAGAC